UAUGUGAUCGUCUCUCGCAUAUCAAUAAGCGGAGGAAAAGAAACUAACAAGGAUUCCCCUAGUAACGGCGAGUGAAGCGGGAAGAGCUCAAAUUUGAAAUCUUAAAGGGUUUCCCUUUACGAAUUGUAGUUUAAAGAAGUGUUUUCUGUUGAGGUUUUGGUAAAAGUUCUUUGGAAUAGGACAUCAUAGAGGGUGAGAAUCCCGUAUUUGACCUUUACUUUCAACUUUGUGAUACACUUUCAAAGAGUCGGAUUGUUUGGGAAUGCAGUCCAAAAUGGGUGGUAAAUUUCAUCUAAAGCUAAAUAUUGGCGAGAGACCGAUAGCGAACAAGUACCGUGAGGGAAAGAUGAAAAGAACUUUGAAAAGAGAGUUAAACAGUACGUGAAAUUGUCAAAAGGGAAGCGUUUGACACCAGUGUUGUUUUUCUGAAAAUCAAUUAAAGAACUGUUUAUGCUAAGUUGUUUAGACUUUAUCAGCUAACUGUUUAGUUUUGAGCUUUUCUUUAAUGCACUUUUCAGUUAACAAGUCAACAUCAAUUUCUUUUGCUGUAAAAAAGCUUGAGGAAGGUGGCUUGAGAUUCGUCUUAAGUGUUUAUAGCCUCUUGCCUAUGCAGUCGGAGAGAUUGAGGUCUGCAGCGUAGGUCCUUCGGGGCUAAAUGCAUUUGUGCUAAGUUAUAGCAUUUUAUAGACAACUUGUUGACUAUGAUUUGUCUUGUAGCUUACUCGCUUAUGUUAUUUUACCUACGCUUAGGAUGUUGAAGAUAUGCGCGACACG
Molecule: ribosomal RNA, 774 nt
Filed under: uncultured Neocallimastigales
Lineage: Eukaryota; Fungi; Neocallimastigomycota; Neocallimastigomycetes; Neocallimastigales
Description: partial large subunit ribosomal RNA
Rfam family: Eukaryotic large subunit ribosomal RNA
Source: RNAcentral